This 206-nucleotide microRNA precursor is filed under the name Oryza nivara. RNAcentral describes it as "MIR812 microRNA precursor family". It matches the Rfam family "MIR812 microRNA precursor family". The record is from Rfam by way of RNAcentral. Lineage: Eukaryota; Viridiplantae; Streptophyta; Magnoliopsida; Poales; Poaceae.
AAAAAGACAAACCCUGGUUUCCGUGCCUAACGUUUGACCGUCCGUCUUAUUUGAAAAAAAUAUUAAAAAAAAUUAAAAAGAUAAGUCACGCAUAAAAUAUUAAUCAUGUUUUAUCAUCUAACAACAAUAAAAAUACGAAUUAUAAAAAAAUUUUAUAUAAGACGGACAGUCAAAGUUAGACACGGAAACCUAAGGUUUGUCUUUUU